Molecule: transfer RNA, 71 nt
Filed under: Marmota monax (woodchuck)
Lineage: Eukaryota; Metazoa; Chordata; Mammalia; Rodentia; Sciuridae
Description: tRNA.Ala
Rfam family: tRNA
About the family: Transfer RNA (tRNA) molecules are approximately 80 nucleotides in length. Their secondary structure includes four short double-helical elements and three loops (D, anti-codon, and T loops). Further hydrogen bonds mediate the characteristic L-shaped molecular structure. tRNAs have two regions of fundamental functional importance: the anti-codon, which is responsible for specific mRNA codon recognition, and the 3' end, to which the tRNAs corresponding amino acid is attached (by aminoacyl-tRNA synthetases). tRNAs cope with the degeneracy of the genetic code in two manners: having more than one tRNA (with a specific anti-codon) for a particular amino acid; and 'wobble' base-pairing, i.e. permitting non-standard base-pairing at the 3rd anti-codon position.
Source: RNAcentral
GGGGUUGUGGCUCAGUGGUAGAGCGCUCGCCUAGCAUGUGUGAGGCCCUGGGUUCAAUCCUCAGCACCACA